Molecule: long non-coding RNA, 875 nt
Filed under: Homo sapiens (human)
Lineage: Eukaryota; Metazoa; Chordata; Mammalia; Primates; Hominidae
Description: HSALNT0136099
Source: RNAcentral
UGAGCCACCAUGCCUGGCUUCAAUUCUUAAAGAUUUGAAUUAAUUGAGUCCCUAGAUUAGAAAUAAUUUUUUUGGUUACAGAGUCCCAUCAGUUUUCUGGAAAAACGGACAAAAGGCUAAAGCUAGUUUCAUUCAUCACAAGGUCGCCAUCUCUUAGUUCUCUAGUUUCAGGCUAUUUCACUUGCUACAAGAUUUGAUUUUAAGAGAGAUCUGUAUGGAAGCAUUUUAAAGUUAAUGUCCAAGAUUGAGCUCAAAUGCAAUGUGGAUUCUUCUUUAUUUUGAAAUAUUUAUAGCUUUUCUAUUUUUUGGCAUACUCUUAAUCGAGCAUGCUGCCGAUUGCUGGUCAAUUGGCUUCGACACAGUAGUCCAGGGCCACAGUCGCAACGCUGGAAGAUUUCUGGAGCUUGAGCAGUGUCUUUAUGCCCUCUUCUGGAGCAGACCUGUCCCUCCAAAAGGACUGGCUUACAAAUUUUCGUCCAAAAAUGACGAGCACAGCAAAGUCCAGGGCCACAGUCAAAAGUUCUCAGACAACUUUCUCCCUCUUGUCCUGUAACAAGGUUAAUGUGGGCUUUAGUGAUAAAUAAGGAAAGUGGCCUGCUGGGGGUUUGCUACUGGGAUAAGGGAAUGGGACCUAUGACUGACAGCCACAAAGUAAAAACAGACACAGCACGCAGGUCUCACAGAGCUAGGUGUUACGCUAAAAGCAGUAAUGCCAUGGCGACUCCACCCCUACCCAUCAGAAUUGAUCGUUGUUACUGGCUGCAGACUACCUUAGGCUACUCUCUACGUGACCCCCACAGCUUCUUACAGAAAGAGAUAACAAACAGCACAUGCUUCCUAAGUGUUUCUGGGAUGGAGAAGAAUAAAAUCAGUCU